Molecule: long non-coding RNA, 1465 nt
Filed under: Bos mutus (wild yak)
Lineage: Eukaryota; Metazoa; Chordata; Mammalia; Artiodactyla; Bovidae
Description: lncRNA (ENSBMUG00000022260.1)
Source: RNAcentral
UUCUGAGACUGGGCCUCUGGCCACUGGCCGGGUGGUUCUAGGGGUCGCAGUGCCUGGUGCUGGCUCCUGGGGCGGGACCUGCAUAGGGCAGUCCAUGCUCUUGCCGGGGAGAAGGACUCGCCUGGGGGUCCCAUCCAUCCCCAUCCCCACCAGGGGAGGCCACACAGGGGACAGCGUCCAAGCCAGUCCGCAGUGUUUGCACAGGGCAGAGACCCACCGUCUGCUGCUUUCAGAAUGCCGACCAGACACGCCCCCUGCCCGAGAAAGGACGUGCGCCCACGGGUGGCUGGAGAAGGGCCGGCUUCAAGGACUCGGAUCGCCCCAGGAAGGGGUGUGGUCCACCCGNUCUUCCCAACUGUUCCCAGAGCCAAGCCCCUAGAAAGUCAGGUCACCACGACAACAGUCCGGAGGCAGAAAAACCCUGACCCAGCAAGACAGUGGCAGCCACGUCCUGGGCGUGGGCUUCCAGCGUCUGACUCUAAAAAGCUGUGAAAAACCUCAAACCACCCUCAGGGAACCGUCUUCUUGCUGAGCUGAGAACAAGCAUCACCAUUUGAAUUCGGAGGAAGCCGGUCUAAGCAAUAACACUGCCCCUCACCACCCCCACCCCCCAGCCCUCAAUGGGUGUGACGUCCAUCCAGCCUUUGGGUCCCAGAGAGCUCAGGUCACAUUUCGUCACCAUCGUCACCAACAGUUCGUUGUCCAGCCCCUCUGGGCCACCGACAUCUCCCUGAUUUCUGCGUCCCAAGGACCCCCAGUUCCACUGAAGUUGCCCAGUAUCCAACAGCAUCUUCAGGGACCCGUCGGCCUUUCCGAGGGGUGCCUGUCGGAUCACUGAAAAUCCCAGGGCUGGAUUUCCUUCUGUUUCAGCAGGUUAAUAAUAUUGUUCUUAUUCAGUCGCUCAGUCGUGUCCGACUCUUUACGACCCCAUGGACUGCAGCACACCAGGCUUCCCUGUCCUUCACCAUCUCCUGGAGUCUGCUGAAACUCAUGUCCAUCGAGUCGGUGACACCAUCCAAGCAUCUCCUCCUCUGUCAUCCCCUUCUCCUCCCGCCUUCACUCUUGCCAGCAUCAAGGUCUUUCCCAAAAAAGUCAGCUCUUCGCGUCAGGUGGUUAGAGUAUGACAUCUCUUUUCUCGAACCUGUUUUAAAACACCCACACUGAAGGCAUGCGGUUUGCUGGAAAUCGUCAGACGAAGACAUUGAUUUAUUGUUUUUUCCCAGUGUCUGCUGUGUCUUUGGAAACCUGUGAUCCUGCCAUUUCACUGANNNNNNNNNNNNNNNNNNNNNNNNNNNNNNNNNNNNNNNNNNNNNNNNNNUAAAUGAAGGAACUGCAUUGGAGUCCCUGAGGGGGACGGAAUAUGUCCGAUGGAAUGACUGCUUAGGGUCUCGAUGCUAUGUUGACAACUGCUCUUGAAAUCUAGAACUUCUUCAAAAUAAACCAUCUUUUUUUUUUUUUCUAAGCA